UACUCGUCCAGGGUCGGGGGCUUUAAACAGGGGCUGGCCUGUACCCAGUGUUCCCCAAGCCCUAACUGCCACCAACCCGAGAGGAGACUGCCACAGUGCCACAGUGAGGUGGUGAAGGCUGCCUGGGCCCCAUGAUAGGGAGGAAAGGGCUCAAGCAGACUUCAGGACAUAGCCACUUCCAGGCCUGCACACUUCCGGGCACUCAUCGAAAUGCAGCCAGAGGAACAUCAUUCCCACACUAGCCCCAGAGGAGGCAAGAACUUCAGGAUGCAGGAUGUAGCUGUGUGCACGUAGAGCUGCUGUGAUUCUUUGUGCAUGGGAAUGCCUGGGUAUGUGCAUUUUUGUGUUCUACACGUAGAUCUCAUGCAUA
Molecule: long non-coding RNA, 370 nt
Organism: Octodon degus (degu)
Lineage: Eukaryota; Metazoa; Chordata; Mammalia; Rodentia; Octodontidae
Exons: 3
Source: RefSeq, a predicted model, not a curated record